This 524-nucleotide ribosomal RNA is filed under the name Paroedura vazimba. RNAcentral describes it as "partial 16S ribosomal RNA". It matches the Rfam family "Bacterial large subunit ribosomal RNA", at positions 1841 to 2585 of the family's 2925-position model. The record is from RNAcentral. Lineage: Eukaryota; Metazoa; Chordata; Lepidosauria; Squamata; Gekkonidae.
AAGUAUAAAGGUACAGCCUGCCCAGUGAAAAACUUUAACGGCCGCGGUACCCUAACCGUGCGAAGGUAGCGUAAUCACUUGUCUUCUAAUUAAAGACCCGUAUGAACGGCUACAUGAGGGCUAAACUGUCUCCCACAACUAGUCAUGAAACUGAUUUUUCAGUCCAAAAGCUGAAAUAAACCCCCAUAAAGAAGAAACCCCGCGAGAAUUUUAAGCAGCCUACUACCUCUUAAACUAAGCCGCGCCGAGCGGCACUACAAAACAAAAGUUAAAGGUGCGCUUUUAGUUGGGGCGACUUCGGAGCAAAACAAAACCUCCGCGAAUAAGCUAAAACCUGAUUUUAGGCUGACGAGCCAACAAUAUAAACUCAUUGACCCAGUAUGACUGAUCAACGAACCAAGUUACUCCGGGGAUAACAGCGCCAUCCUYUUAAARAGUCCCUAUCGCCAAGAGGGCUUACGACCUCGAUGUUGGAUCAGGGCAUCCUGGCAGUGUAGCCGCUGCCAAGGGUUCGUUUGUUCAAC